RNAcentral lists this ribosomal RNA (490 nucleotides) under uncultured bacterium. RNAcentral describes it as "partial 16S ribosomal RNA". It matches the Rfam family "Bacterial small subunit ribosomal RNA", at positions 28 to 507 of the family's 1533-position model. The record is from RNAcentral.
GAUGAACGCUCGCUACAGGCUUAACACAUGCAAGUCGCGGGGCAGCAUGGGGGUUGCUUGCAAUCCCCGAUGGCGACCGGCGCACGGGUGAGUAACGCGUAUCCAACCUGCCCUUCACCACGGGAUAACCCGGCGAAAGUCGGACUAAUACCGUAUGUUGUCCAUUGACGGCAUCCGAUUUGGACGAAAGGCUUGGCGGUGAGGGAUGGGGAUGCGUCCGAUUAGCCAGACGGCGGGGUAACGGCCCACCGUGGCUACGAUCGGUAGGGGUUCUGAGAGGAAGGUCCCCCACACUGGAACUGAGACACGGUCCAGACUCCUACGGGAGGCAGCAGUGAGGAAUAUUGGUCAAUGGGCGUAAGCCUGAACCAGCCAAGUAGCGUGCAGGAUGACGGCCCUAUGGGUUGUAAACUGCUUUUAUGCGGGGAUAAAGUGGCCCACGUGUGGGCUUUUGCAGGUACCGCAUGAAUAAGGACCGGCUAAUUCCGUG